RNAcentral lists this ribosomal RNA (253 nucleotides) under uncultured bacterium. RNAcentral's name for it is "partial 16S ribosomal RNA". It matches the Rfam family "Bacterial small subunit ribosomal RNA", at positions 524 to 776 of the family's 1533-position model. The record is from RNAcentral.
UACGGGGGGGGCAAGCGUUGUUCGGAAUUACUGGGCGUAAAGCGUCCGCAGGUGGCACUUCAAGUCUGUCGUCAAAGACUGGGGCUUAACCCCGGAAAGGCGGUGGAAACUGAAGCGCUAGAGUGCGGUAGGGGUAGAGGGAAUUCCCGGUGUAGCGGUGAAAUGCGUAGAGAUCGGGAAGAACAUCGGUGGCGAAAGCGCUCUACUGGACCGCAACUGACACUCAGGGAUGAAAGCUAGGGGAGCGAAUGGG